GAUGAACGCUAGCGGCAGGCCUAAUACAUGCAAGUCGAACGCUCAGUAGCAAUACUGGGAGUGGCGCACGGGUGCGUAACGCGUACACAAUCUACCUCUAAGCGGGGACACCUCCUGGAACGGGGAUUAAUACCGCAUAAUAUGCCGAGGUCGCAUGACUUUGGUAUUAAAGCAGCAAUGCACUUAGAGAUGAGUGUGCGUCCCAUUAGGUAGUUGGUGAGGUAACGGCUCACCAAGCCUAUGAUGGGUAGCCGGUCUGAGAGGAUGGGUCGGCCACACGGGCACUGAGACACGGGCCCGACUCCUACGGGAGGCAGCAGUAAGGAAUAUUGGUCAAUGGUGGAAACACUGAACCAGCCAUGCCGCGUGGAGGAAUAAGGUCCUACGGAUU
RNAcentral lists this ribosomal RNA (391 nucleotides) under uncultured bacterium. RNAcentral describes it as "bacterial SSU rRNA". It matches the Rfam family "Bacterial small subunit ribosomal RNA", at positions 28 to 424 of the family's 1533-position model. The record is from RNAcentral.